GAGGAAGCACAUGUCACAUUUGUUUCAGACAACCGCAUCGGGGUCCCACAGCUCUGAUUAAAUAUAAGCGAAGGUUGUGACAGCUACAGAGGCAAGAGUGGUGGCAACCCAAGGAAUGGAAGAGCCAAUGAGGAUGACUGGAAAUGGAUGCUGUGGCAUGUACGUUAUCCUGAAGAAGUUGGAAAUGCAACAGGUUUUUGAGGGCCCUGAACUGAAUCCUCUCCAGUGUGGCUGUCUCCCUCAGUAAAGUCCAUUUAGAUUGGCUCCAUUCCAUAAAUGAACUGAGGAAAAUACUUCUUUGUUUCCACUGGGCUUUCGGCAUGAUGGGCACACAAACUGCCUAACUCCGUUUCUGUGACAAGGAGUAGGAACUCAUCAUCCAUCUUGGAGUGUUUUGUGUUAUUGAUAUUAGGGGUUCAGAUUGUACUGGAAGAGGCUAGCUUGUCUGUGGUAAUUAAUAUGCUCAUACAAUGCUUGCCAUCCUCCACAGAAUAAAGAGUGCUUUGUUCAAGAGAGCUCCCCCCACCCUCUCU
Long non-coding RNA from Mauremys mutica (yellowpond turtle), 533 nucleotides. RefSeq lists it as uncharacterized. NCBI's taxonomy places the organism in Eukaryota, Metazoa, Chordata, Testudines, Geoemydidae. The transcript has 3 exons. The record is from RefSeq and is a predicted model, not a curated record.